CAGGUCUGUGGCGUGUUGGUAAUCAGACGCUGUAAGGGGAUAGAUACAGACUUACAGUUUAUCUAGGGAACAAUGAUCUGGGAUCUUCGGCAGUUAGUCGAGAUAGAGACACUAGGAGGAUCAGAGAUGAGAGAGAGCGAGAGAGAGAGAGCAAUGACUUUCUAAGCAGGGAGAUCCUAUUCAGUCAGGAUAAGAAGCUCCUCUCCUCCGCCAUGACCCGCCCUGCCACCAUCUCACUUGGACUUCUGCUCCUCCUUAUUGCCUACACAGCUGCAGGACCUGAGUCUGAGCUCCAACCCAGAGCUGUCCGGUCGAGUGCCUGUCAGGACCACAGUACUCUUCAUGACAGACUGGAUGUAGUGGAGAAGCGUGUAGAGGACACAGUCCAGAAGCUAGAGGCUGAGCUGGCUGUGCUACUGGAUGCCAUAGAGGCCCCUGAGUGGAGCCCCCUGCUGGAAACUGCUGGAAAACCUGUGGUGGACAUCCUGGACGGCCAGGGACUGGGAGAAGGUGGCGACUCCUGA
This 524-nucleotide long non-coding RNA is filed under the name Salmo trutta (river trout). RNAcentral describes it as "lncRNA (ENSSTUG00000012063.1)". Lineage: Eukaryota; Metazoa; Chordata; Actinopteri; Salmoniformes; Salmonidae. The record is from RNAcentral.